GCAGCUAUUGAAAACCAGGCUCCAAGCCCUGUGGUUUAGAGUAGCCUAGAGCCCCCCCGGCACCUCUUCGCUCAGAGCGGGUUCGAAUCCAACCCGGGUACGGUCCGAUCACGCUCCACAGGCGAAGUGCGUUUUCCAGCAGCCGGGUCUGCACCGGGCCGGUAUUUUUAGGGGGGUGGCCAUUCUAGGUCACACCCCUAAGAAUGGGGAACAUUGCACGGGAUUAAGGCAAAAGGGGGUUCCAAAAAUGGAAGAUUUGACGUAAUUGCAGAUAUUGGCGGCGUUUUACGUCACUGCCACCUGGCAUAACUUCCCCACGAGUGCGUGCGGCUCUCUUCCCCUUCCACGCGUGGGUCUGAUUCAAGAUGGCGGUGCUGGCAGUUUGCGAGAACUUCUGUCUCCCAUCCAGUUGCUGCAACCGAGACCUGAAGGUGUUGGAACCAGUUAAUUAUUAUUUCUUUGGCAUUGUUGGACAUUGUUCGGAAUUGCCGGCGUGUGUUUGGUUUUAAGUAAAAUGAAAUAAAAUGGGGGUCUCCUUUGAAAGGCGCAUGCUAGUGUCAUGUGUGGACACACAUUCCAAGCUGCACAUCUGUCUUGCAGCGUGCUGUGGUCACUGUCUAGAGGGAUUCGGUUCUCUCUCCCAGAUCCGGGACAAGCACGUGCCUGUUCGCUGAUCACUGAAAUAUACGUGUUCAGUAGAGCUUUCGUCUGACAAAGAGAGCCAGUACUUGGUGAACAUGGCUGCUGCAAGUCUAGUUUUGCCGCGACCUGCCUGUUGCUGAAGCCUCACUCCAGCGGGAUUCACUCUGUUUCCACAGCCGAUCUAGAGAGCCAGUACUUGACUGCUGCAAGUCCAUUUUUCGAAGCCUGCCUCUCGGUUAAACCUCACUCCAGCGGGAUUCACUCUGUUUCCACAGCCGGACUGUCCCCCCAUGGCUCCGCUGAAGUCUGGCUCUGCUACCUCAAUCCACCCAUGUCCCAGAGAUGGUUCUGCUCCUGUUAUUGUCUGUGUUCCUUUUGCACUGUACUCAAUAAACUAUGGUAUGCUCCA
Non-coding RNA from Lepisosteus oculatus (spotted gar), 1051 nucleotides. Lineage: Eukaryota; Metazoa; Chordata; Actinopteri; Semionotiformes; Lepisosteidae. The record is from RefSeq and is a predicted model, not a curated record.